AAUAUUUGAAAAUGGGGGCGACCCUGACCCAGCCAUGCCGCGAGUGUGAAGAAGGACAUAGGAUUGUAAAUCACUUUAAGUUGAGAGAAAGGGCUUUAGGUUAAUACCCUGAAGUUUUGACGUUACCAACAGAAUAAGCACCGGCUAACUCUGUGCUAGCAGCCGCGGUAAUACAGAGGGUGCAAGCGUUAAUCGGAAUUACUGGGCGUAAAGCGCGCGUAGGUGGUUCAGUAAGAUGGGUGUGAAAUCCCCGGGCUUAACCUGGGAACUGCUUUCAUAACUGCUGAGCUAGAGUACGGUAGAGGGUAGUGGAAUUUCCUGUGUAGCGGUGAAAUGCGUAGAUAUAGGAAGGAACACCAGUGGCGAAGGCGACUACCUGGACUGAUACUGACACUGAGGUGCGAAAGCGUGGGGAGCAAAC
This 421-nucleotide ribosomal RNA is filed under the name uncultured bacterium. RNAcentral's name for it is "partial 16S ribosomal RNA". It matches the Rfam family "Bacterial small subunit ribosomal RNA", at positions 360 to 773 of the family's 1533-position model. The record is from RNAcentral.